GGAUGUGUGGGCGAUCUGGCUGUGACAUCUGUCACCCAUUGAUUGCCAGGGUUGAUUGGCUGAUCUGGCCGGCUAGGCGAGUGUCCCCUACCUCCCUCCCCGCUCCAUGUGAGUCCCUACCAAAGCUGCACGCUCAGUCGAAGAGGAUGGUUGAGGGUAUACGAGUAGCUGCGCUCCCCUGCUAGAACCUCCAACAAGCUCUCAAGAAUAGGGAGUUUCCUGUGGUUGGGUGGUAGCGCAGUGGGUUAAGCACACGCAGUGUGAAAGU
This 268-nucleotide small nuclear RNA is filed under the name Erinaceus europaeus (western European hedgehog). Its description in RNAcentral is "7SK RNA". It matches the Rfam family "7SK RNA". Rfam says of the family: 7SK was discovered as an abundant small nuclear RNA in the mid-70s but a possible function has only recently been suggested. Two independent studies have found that 7SK RNA binds the CDK9/cyclin T complex (known as elongation factor P-TEFb). P-TEFb activates transcription by phosphorylating the C-terminal domain of RNA polymerase II. The record is from Rfam by way of RNAcentral. Lineage: Eukaryota; Metazoa; Chordata; Mammalia; Eulipotyphla; Erinaceidae.